AACGAACGCUGGCGGCAUGCCUAACACAUGCAAGUCGAACGAGACCUUCGGGUCUAGUGGCGCACGGGUGCGUAACGCGUGGGAACCUGCCCUUAGGUUCGGAAUAACUCCCCGAAAGGGGUGCUAAUACCGGAUAAGGUCUUCGGACCAAAGAUUUAUCGCCUUUGGAUGGGCCCGCGUUGGAUUAGCUAGUUGGUAGGGUAAAAGCCUACCAAGGCGACGAUCCAUAGCUGGUCUGAGAGGAUGAUCAGCCACACUGGAACUGAGACACGGCCCAGACUCCUACGGGAGGCAGCAGUGGGGAAUAUUGGACAAUGGGCGAAAGCCUGAUCCAGCAAUGCCGCGUGAGUGAUGAAGGCCUUAGGGUUGUAAAGCUCUUUUACCCGGGAUGAUAAUGACAGUACCGGGAGAAUAAGCUCCGGCUAACUCCGUG
Molecule: ribosomal RNA, 433 nt
Filed under: uncultured bacterium
Lineage: Bacteria
Description: partial 16S ribosomal RNA
Rfam family: Bacterial small subunit ribosomal RNA
Source: RNAcentral